This 375-nucleotide ribosomal RNA is filed under the name uncultured bacterium. RNAcentral's name for it is "bacterial SSU rRNA". It matches the Rfam family "Bacterial small subunit ribosomal RNA", at positions 521 to 896 of the family's 1533-position model. The record is from RNAcentral.
UAAUACGUAGGUCCCGAGCGUUGUCCGGAAUUACUGGGUGUAAAGGGUGCGCAGGCGGUCUUGUGCGUCAGAAGUGAAAUAUCACGGCUUAACCGUGAGGGUGCUUUUGAAACGGCGAGACUUGAGUACGGGAGAGGAUGAUGGAAUUCCUGGUGUAGCAGUGAAAUGCGUAGAUAUCAGGAGGAACACCGGUGGCGAAGGCGGUCAUCUGGCCCGGUACUGACGCUCAGGCACGAAAGUGUGGGUAGCAAACAGGAUUAGAUACCCUGGUAGUCCACACUGUAAACGAUGUAUGCUUGGUGUUGGGGUAGCAAUACUUCAGUGCCGUAGGGAACCUAUUAAGCAUACCACCUGGGGAGUACGAUCGCAAGGUUG